This 91-nucleotide small RNA is filed under the name Mycoplasmoides pneumoniae M129. Its description in RNAcentral is "Mycoplasma pneumoniae M129 ncRNA". Lineage: Bacteria; Bacillati; Mycoplasmatota; Mycoplasmoidales; Mycoplasmoidaceae. The record is from RNAcentral.
ACCGAUCUUGGCACCUGUAACCGUGUGGUUCUUCUUCCCGUUUUCAUCAUCCGCUUUACCAAUAUCAUGAUACAAACCGCACUUUAAUGCA